This 87-nucleotide transfer RNA is filed under the name Desulfuromonas sp. RNAcentral's name for it is "tRNA-Leu". It matches the Rfam family "tRNA". Rfam says of the family: Transfer RNA (tRNA) molecules are approximately 80 nucleotides in length. Their secondary structure includes four short double-helical elements and three loops (D, anti-codon, and T loops). Further hydrogen bonds mediate the characteristic L-shaped molecular structure. tRNAs have two regions of fundamental functional importance: the anti-codon, which is responsible for specific mRNA codon recognition, and the 3' end, to which the tRNAs corresponding amino acid is attached (by aminoacyl-tRNA synthetases). tRNAs cope with the degeneracy of the genetic code in two manners: having more than one tRNA (with a specific anti-codon) for a particular amino acid; and 'wobble' base-pairing, i.e. permitting non-standard base-pairing at the 3rd anti-codon position. RNAcentral also lists the same sequence under 2 other names. Lineage: Bacteria; Pseudomonadati; Thermodesulfobacteriota; Desulfuromonadia; Desulfuromonadales; Desulfuromonadaceae. The record is from RNAcentral.
GCCCGGGUGGUGGAAUUGGUAGACACAAGGGACUUAAAAUCCCUCGAUCGCAAGGUCAUACGGGUUCGAUCCCCGUCCCGGGCACCA